RNAcentral lists this ribosomal RNA (495 nucleotides) under uncultured bacterium. RNAcentral's name for it is "partial 16S ribosomal RNA". It matches the Rfam family "Bacterial small subunit ribosomal RNA", at positions 28 to 507 of the family's 1533-position model. The record is from RNAcentral.
GACGAACGCUGGCGGCGUGCCUAAUACAUGCAAGUAGAACGCUGAAGGAGGAGCUUGCUUCUCUGGAUGAGUUGCGAACGGGUGAGUAACGCGUAGGUAACCUGCCUGGUAGCGGGGGAUAACUAUUGGAAACGAUAGCUAAUACCGCAUAAGAGUAGAUGUUGCAUGACAUUUGCUUAAAAGGUGCAAUUGCAUCACUACCAGAUGGACCUGCGUUGUAUUAGCUAGUUGGUGGGGUAACGGCUCACCAAGGCGACGAUACAUAGCCGACCUGAGAGGGUGAUCGGCCACACUGGGACUGAGACACGGCCCAGACUCCUACGGGAGGCAGCAGGAGGGAAUCUUCGGCAAUGGACGGAAGUCUGACCGAGCAACGCCGCGGGAGUGAAGAAGGUUUUCGGAUCGUAAAGCUCUGUUGUAAGAGAAGAACGAGUGUGAGAGUGGAAAGUUCACACUGUGACGGUAUCUUACCAGAAAGGGACGGCUAACUACGUG